GGAGGUUGGCUUAGAAGCAGCCAUCCUUGAAAGAGUGCGUAAUAGCUCACUGGUCAAGUGAUCGUGCGCCGACAAUGUAGCGGGGCUCAAGCACACCGCCGAAGCCGCGGACCCAUAACAGUGUUCCCUUCACCGUCCCACAUCGCUGGGGUGGUGGCAGGGGUUGUGGGUGGUAGGGGAGCGUCCUGCACCGGGGGAAGCCUGUGGGUGACUGCUGGUGGACGGUGCGGGAGUGAGAAUGCAGGCAUGAGUAGCGAUACUAGGGUGAGAAGCCCUAGCGCCGAAUGACCAAGGGUUCCAGGGCCAGGCUAGUCCGCCCUGGGUGAGUCGGGACCUAAGGCGAGGCCGACAGGCGUAGUCGAUGGAUGACGGGUUGAUAUUCCCGUACCGGCGAAGCACCGCCCAUGCUGACGCGCGGGUGCUAACCCACGCCCGGCCGCCAUGUAGGCCGCAUGUGUCAGGUUCGCCUGACGGUGUGGUUGUGGUGGUGGGGUCUGGGGAUCCUCCGUGCAGGUAGGCAAGCGUGUUAACAGGGGUGACGCACAGUGGUAGCCCGGCGGACCUGAUGGCUUGGUCCGUUCAAGCGCGCAGCCCGUCCUCCAGGUAAAUCCGGGGUGACUGUCUUUGAUGACGGGGGUGAGGCGUGAUGGUGACCCCACUCUGGUGGGGGAUAGCAGGGUGAUCCUGGGGUGCCGAGAAAAGCCUCGACGCGAUGGUGCCAGCCGCCCGUACCCUAAACCGACACAGGUGGUCGGGCAGAGUAUGCCUAGGCGCACGAGUGAAUCAUGGUUAAGGAACUCGGCAAAAUGCCCCCGUAACUUCGGGAGAAGGGGGGCCUGAGCUUUGAAGCCCCUUCGCGGGCUAGGAGCAAGGGUCGCAGAGAACAGGGGGGAGCGACUGUUUACUAAAAACACAGGUCCGUGCGAAGCCGUAAGGCGAUGUAUACGGACUGACGCCUGCCCGGUGCUGGAAGGUUAAGAGGAACCAUCAACCCUCGGGUGAAGUGGUGAAUUUAAGCCCCAGUAAACGGCGGUGGUAACUAUAACCAUCCUAAGGUAGCGAAAUUCCUUGUCGGGUAAGUUCCGACCUGCACGAAUGGCGUAACGACUUCCCUACUGUCUCAACCAUGAGCUCGGCGAAAUUGCACUACGAGUAAAGAUGCUCGUUUCGCGCAGAAGGACGGAAAGACCCCGGGACCUUUACUACAGCUUGGUAUUGGCGCCCGCUAUAGCUUGUGCAGGAUAGGUGGGAGACUGUGAAGCCGUUACGCCAGUAGCGGUGGAGUCGUCCUUGAAAUACCACUCUGGUUAUGGCGUGCGCCUGAACCUGGGCCCGUGAUCCGGGUUAGGGACAGUGCCUGGUGGGUAGUUUAACUGGGGCGGUUGCCUCCUAAAGUGUAACGGAGGCGCUCAAAGGUUCCCUCAGCCUGGUCGGCAACCAGGUGUUGAGUGCAAGUGCACAAGGGAGCUUGACUGUGAGACCGACGGGUCGAGCAGGUACGAAAGUAGGAACUAGUGAUCCGGCGAUCCCGUGUGGGUGGGUCGUCGCUCAACGGAUAAAAGGUACCCCGGGGAUAACAGGCUGAUCCUGCCCAAGAGUCCAUAUCGACGGCAUGGUUUGGCACCUCGAUGUCGGCUCGUCGCAUCCUGGGGCUGGAGCAGGUCCCAAGGGUUGGGCUGUUCGCCCAUUAAAGCGGUACGCGAGCUGGGUUUAGAACGUCGUGAGACAGUUCGGUCCCUAUCCUCUGCGCGCGCAGGAGACUUGAGAAGGCCUGUCCCUAGUACGAGAGGACCGGGACGGACGAACCUCUGGUGUGCCAGUUGUCCCGCCCGGGGCACGGCUGGUUGGCUACGUUCGGGACGGGUAACCGCUGAAAGCAUCUAAGCGGGAAACCAUCUUCAAGAUAAGGUCUCCGCAGGACACCUCGGUGUCCUGGUAGGCCCCCAGCAGACUACUGGGUUGAUAGGCCAGAAGUGGAAGACCGGUAACGGUUGGGAGCUGACUGGUACUAAUCGGCCGACACAAACAAC
This 2030-nucleotide ribosomal RNA is filed under the name human oral metagenome. RNAcentral describes it as "bacterial LSU rRNA". It matches the Rfam family "Bacterial large subunit ribosomal RNA", at positions 1096 to 2925 of the family's 2925-position model. The record is from RNAcentral.